AAUUAGAUAAGUUAAAAAAACUUUUGGGUUGUGGUCUCAAAUAUACUUAUGGUUCUAAUUC
This 61-nucleotide transfer RNA is filed under the name Haementeria acuecueyetzin. Its description in RNAcentral is "tRNA-His". The record is from RNAcentral. Lineage: Eukaryota; Metazoa; Annelida; Clitellata; Rhynchobdellida; Glossiphoniidae.